ACAAACCAGUUCAGUGGAUCCCUUGGCUUGUG
This 32-nucleotide ribosomal RNA is filed under the name Dichromothrips smithi. Its description in RNAcentral is "partial 5.8S ribosomal RNA". Lineage: Eukaryota; Metazoa; Arthropoda; Insecta; Thysanoptera; Thripidae. The record is from RNAcentral.